Long non-coding RNA from Myripristis murdjan (pinecone soldierfish), 791 nucleotides. RefSeq lists it as uncharacterized. Lineage: Eukaryota; Metazoa; Chordata; Actinopteri; Holocentriformes; Holocentridae. The record is from RefSeq and is a predicted model, not a curated record. The transcript has 3 exons.
CAAAAAAUGACAGCAGAGAGAGCACUGUAUGACAUGAACCAAGACCGCCGGGGCCCAUCAUCUCAGAAGGUACGCAUCUUCGAUCUGUGCCAGGAAAACAAUCUGCGUUUCCAACCCAGACAUCCUUCAAGAUAGAUUUCCUGUAAUUUUCUGUUUCCUCCCAUUGAUGUGAUACUUCUGCACCUGACAGCUCUGUUUCCUGGACUCAGGAUGCCACCACGAACUAUGAGAGUGGGAUAGCACCCACAAAAAAGGCCCGCUUUGAUCAAAGCUUCCCUUAUCUGUUCUGCAGAUAACAUUGCAACAGCAGAAAGCAUCCCCAAGAGGUGUCCUCGGAGGUUGAGUGAACUCCAAAUGGGAGAAUGGAACCUGAAACAGUUCAGAAGAGCUGCAUUCCCUUUUUGAUGUUUGAUGUCUGAACCAUUUAGAUUGUCACUUCAAAAUCUGAUACAUUAUCACGAUUUAAAAUUAAGAAAAGUGUUCUGUGCCUCAAUAUAAAGUCACAAUCACCUUUAAUAGUCCUUUUUUUUUUUUUUACUAAAUAUAAUUACUGCUAUCAGGGAACAGAAAGUUUUCAAAGAACAGAUUUUUAUACAGUUGCAUCCCAAAAAGUAGGCAGUUAGCUCUUUAAUCUCAUAUUUUUCAAGUGACCUGAUUCAUUAUUGAUCCUGAAAUGUGGCAUAAAAGCAAGCAAUGUAUGUGACCGGCACUAUGUGGAUUACUUAAACCUCUGAAUUGUUUUCAAUUAAUUUACACAAUGCCUUGCCUGUAGACUAAAUAAAGUAUUGAAA